CUCAAACUCAGUGGCAAUUGUGCCUCAGUUUCUGGAGUGCUGGGAUUACAGGGGAUCAAACUCAGGAGCAGAACCACUGAGCUAAAUCCCCAGCCCCUGGCCGCAAAUUUUUAAUACCUCAGGCCGCAGCUUUCAUGCAGCAGGGAUUACAGAAUAAUGCAGAAUUGAAGAUAAAAGUGUAGCUGGACUGUGGCCCCAACUAAGCUGGAGGCUAAGGCAAGAGGAUCUUUGGGCUCCAGGAAUGCAAGGCCAAUCUAGACCACAUGGAGUCACUAUCUCGUAAAAAAGUGCUGAGGACUGAACCCAGGGUUCUGUAAAGAAGUGCUCCAUCACUGAACUAACUGUAUCCUCAUUUUCAAGAGUUUUACUUUGAUUCAUGGUUCCAGACCAACUGGCCCAAUCUGGGGUCCUUUUCUGAGAAAGGUCACCCGUUAAGAUGGUACAGAGCAAACAGUACAGGGGUAUUUGCUCUACUCAUUUCAUGGAUGUAGGGAAUGCAAGCCAAAGAUGAAAUCAAAAGCUGAAGUGACAUCAAGAUUUCAUUUCUG
RNAcentral lists this long non-coding RNA (548 nucleotides) under Heterocephalus glaber (naked mole-rat). RNAcentral describes it as "lncRNA (ENSHGLG00100033565.1)". The record is from RNAcentral. Lineage: Eukaryota; Metazoa; Chordata; Mammalia; Rodentia; Bathyergidae.